GACGUAGGGCGCGAGCGUUGUCCGGAUUUAUUGGGCGUAAAGAGCUCGUAGGCGGCUUGUCGCGUCGUCCGUGAAAACUUGGGGCUCAACCCCAAGCUUGCGGUCGAUACGGGCAGGCUAGAGUUCGGUAGGGGAGACUGGAAUUCCUGGUGUAGCGGUGAAAUGCGCAGAUAUCAGGAGGAACACCGAUGGCGAAGGCAGCUCACUGGGACGGUACUGACGCUGAGACGCGAAAGCGUGGGGAGCAAACAGG
RNAcentral lists this ribosomal RNA (253 nucleotides) under uncultured bacterium. RNAcentral describes it as "partial 16S ribosomal RNA". It matches the Rfam family "Bacterial small subunit ribosomal RNA", at positions 524 to 776 of the family's 1533-position model. The record is from RNAcentral.